ACACAUGCAAGUCGAGGGGCAGCAUCAUCAAAGCUUGCUUUGAUGGAUGGCGACCGGCGCACGGGUGAGUAACACGUAUCCAACCUGCCGACAACACUGGGAUAGCCUUUCGAAAGAAAGAUUAAUACCGGAUGGCAUAAUUAUUCCGCAUGGGAUAAUUAUUAAAGAAUUUCGGUUGUCGAUGGGGAUGCGUUCCAUUAGGCAGUUGGCGGGGUAACGGCCCACCAAACCUACGAUGGAUAGGGGUUCUGAGAGGAAGGUCCCCCACAUUGGAACUGAGACACGGUCCAAACUCCUACGGGAGGCAGCAGUGAGGAAUAUUGGUCAAUGGACGAGAGUCUGAACCAGCCAAGUAGCGUGAAGGAUGACUGCCCUAUGGGUUGUAAACUUCUUUUAUACGGGAAUAAAGUGAGCCACGUGUGGCUUUUUGUAUGUACCGUAUGAAUAAGGAUCGGCUAACUCCGUGCCAGCAGCCGCGGUAAUACGGAGGAUCCGAGCGUUAUCCGGAUUUAUUGGGUUUAAAGGGAGCGUAGGCGGGUUGUUAAGUCAGUUGUGAAAGUUUGCGGCUCAACCGUAAAAUUGCAGUUGAUACUGGCGACCUUGAGUGCAACAGAGGUAGGCGGAAUUCGUGGUGUAGCGGUGAAAUGCUUAGAUAUCACGAAGAACUCCGAUUGCGAAGGCAGCUUACUGGAUUGUAACUGACGCUGAUGCUCGAAAGUGUGGGUAUCAAACAGGAUUAGAUACCCUGGUAGUCCACACAGUAAACGAUGAAUACUCGCUGUUGGCGAUAUACAGUCAGCGGCCAAGCGAAAGCAUUAAGUAUUCCACCUGGGGAGUACGCCGGCAACGGUGAAACUCAAAGGAAUUGACGGGGGCCCGCACAAGCGGAGGAACAUGUGGUUUAAUUCGAUGAUACGCGAGGAACCUUACCC
Molecule: ribosomal RNA, 932 nt
Filed under: uncultured bacterium
Lineage: Bacteria
Description: bacterial SSU rRNA
Rfam family: Bacterial small subunit ribosomal RNA
Source: RNAcentral